ACCCAUGUUUCCUCGGCAGGCUUGCCUGCCGGUUGGACAAUUCUAUAACCUUUUUAAUUUUCAAUCAGCGUCUGAAAAACUUAAUAAUUACAACUUUCAACAACGGAUCUCUUGGUUCUGGCAUCGAUGAAGAACGCAGCGAAAAUGCGAUAAGUAGUGUGAAUUGCAGAAUUCAGUGAAUCAUCGAAUCUUUGAACGCACAUUGCGCCCCUUGGUAUUCCAUGGGGCAUGCCUGUUCGAGCGUCAUUUGUACCUUCAAGCUUUGCUUGGUGUUGGGUGUUUGUCCUCUCCCUAGUGUUUGGACUCGCCUUAAAACAAUUGGCAGCCAGUGUUUUGGUAUUGAAGCGCAGCACAAGUCGCGAUUCUAACCCAAUAACACUUGCGUCCAGAAGUCUUUUUUCACUUUUGACCUCGGAUCAGGUAGGGAUACCCGCUGAAC
RNAcentral lists this ribosomal RNA (439 nucleotides) under Parastagonospora avenae. RNAcentral describes it as "eukaryotic LSU rRNA". The stretch from base 92 to 246 matches the Rfam family "5.8S ribosomal RNA". Lineage: Eukaryota; Fungi; Ascomycota; Dothideomycetes; Pleosporales; Phaeosphaeriaceae. The record is from RNAcentral.